This 497-nucleotide ribosomal RNA is filed under the name uncultured bacterium. RNAcentral's name for it is "partial 16S ribosomal RNA". It matches the Rfam family "Bacterial small subunit ribosomal RNA", at positions 28 to 507 of the family's 1533-position model. The record is from RNAcentral.
GAUGAACGCUGGCGGCGUGCCUAAUACAUGCAAGUCGAGCGAACAGACCAGGCGCUUGCUCCUUUCACGUUUGCCGAGGGCGUGUGUGACACACGUGUAUCCUCUACCUAUCUUUCUGGGAUAACUUCGAGACUCCGGCGCUUAUACCAGAUAAUCUCCUGAACCACGGGGUGCAAUGGAAAGUUUCGGCUUUGGUGUCUGUUCUCGCUGGAUCCGCGCCGCAUUAGCUGGUUGGUAAGGUCACGGCUUACCACGGCAACGAUGCGUAGCCGACCUGAGAGGGUGAUCGGCCACACUGGAACUGAGACACGGUCCAGACUCCUACGGGAGGCAGCAGUAGGGAAUCUGCCGCAAUGGGCGAAAGCCUGACGGAGCAACGCCGCGUGAGUGAGGAAGGUCUUCGGAUCGUAAAACUCGGUUAUUAGGGAAGAACAAAUGUGUAAGUAACUAUGCACGUCUUGACGGUACCUAAUCAGAAAGCCACGGCUAACUACGUG